UAGGGAAUCUUCGGCAAUGGGGGCAACCCUGACCGAGCAACGCCGCGUGAGUGAAGAAGGUUUUCGGAUCGUAAAGCUCUGUUGUAAGUCAAGAACGGGUGUGAGAGUGGAAAGUUCACACUGUGACGGUAGCUUACCAGAAAGGGACGGCUAACUACGUGCCAGCAGCCGCGGUAAUACGUAGGUCCCGAGCGUUGUCCGGAUUUAU
This 208-nucleotide ribosomal RNA is filed under the name uncultured bacterium. Its description in RNAcentral is "partial 16S ribosomal RNA". It matches the Rfam family "Bacterial small subunit ribosomal RNA", at positions 355 to 554 of the family's 1533-position model. The record is from RNAcentral.